RNAcentral lists this long non-coding RNA (1287 nucleotides) under Bemisia tabaci. RNAcentral's name for it is "lncRNA ENSASIAIIG001310". Lineage: Eukaryota; Metazoa; Arthropoda; Insecta; Hemiptera; Aleyrodidae. The record is from RNAcentral.
AUUCCACACAAAACGGCAUCUAUCGAUGAGAUACGGUGUCGACCAGGACUGAUUAAAACGACUCAAAAGGAGGGAGCAAAAAUCGUUCUCACAUUACCAACUACACAUCUGUGCCAUAAUGAUCAAGUAAAAAUAGAUCACGGGUGCAAGUUGAGUCAAUACGAUCCGGAACAGGUCUACUUUAUUUUAAGUUCCAAUUUAAAAAGGUCUGCCUCCUUAAUUGAAUGGUUUCUAGAUCGCAACGUAAACAAAAUCGUGUUGGCAACGACAGAAUCAAUCGGCAGCUCACACGCCGCUCGAAAAAUCAACGAACACGUAUCGAAGCAGAACGCAUCCGUUCUCAUGACGUCAGCUAGCAAGGCCCGAUCUCCAUCCGGUGCUGAAGAGCUUUUAGCGCAAGCCACGGUGCUUGGAGAGGUCACGGCAAUUUUUUCAGUGGCAUUUGUAAGGCUCAUUUUUUUUCAAGAAACACUUCAGAAAUGUUCAUAAUGUACACCCAAUUCUAUCACCUGUUACAGCUCGAUAGGUGGUUAAAAUUUGAUAAAUGUUCUAAGGGCCGUUCAAGUAUUACGUAACGCACUUGGGGAGGAGAUAGGGGGGGGGUUGAGCUAGCGUUACGGCGCGUUACAACUGGGGAGGGGCGGGGAAUUCUAGCGUUACGUAAAAAAUCCGAGCCGUGGGGAAAAAGUAACUUUGAAGAAAAAGCGUGCAAAAAAUUGAGGAUUUUUUUAGGGAGAUUUUUUGAAAAUGAGAGGGUAGGUCAGGCUAGCGUUACGUAAUUCAAAAGGGCGGUGUAGGGCUGCGUUACGGGUGCGUUCCAAGAGGGGGGAUAAACAAAUCGGGGAAAAUGCGUUACGUAACGCUUGAUUUUUUUUUGUGUCGCACUAGGUGGUUUUGAAAUUGCCAAGGAAACACCCAGAUCUGUAGUAACAUUUCGCCUAACAACUUGAACUUCACAAGAAAAUUUUUUAAAACAUUUGAAAGAGCUUAGUGAAACUAGAAAAUUCUUAUUGAAUGACACAUUUCGAUGAAAUUAUCAUAUGUUAUGAUGUCACAUAUAUUUAUUGACGAUCUUUACGUUCAGAAAAAUUUUUUGCACACCCACAUUAACUUCUUCCCUCUGCCUAGGAUAUGAAUACCGAGAUCGUUAAAAAUACCCAAAAAGCCGCAAGGAAGUUGAACAAGUCUUGUUCUUUCAUUAAUAUUUGGUGAAAAGCAGCGCCUUCUCUUUUGACGACUCAAUUUCAAUCGUUUGUGACAGCCAUCUUGACUAUACCCAAGCCCUCA